RNAcentral lists this ribosomal RNA (467 nucleotides) under uncultured bacterium. RNAcentral's name for it is "partial 16S ribosomal RNA". It matches the Rfam family "Bacterial small subunit ribosomal RNA", at positions 28 to 506 of the family's 1533-position model. The record is from RNAcentral.
GACGAACGCUGGCGGCGUGCUUAACACAUGCAAGUCGAACGGAAAGGCCCUGCUUUUGUGGGGUGCUCGAGUGGCGAACGGGUGAGUAACACGUGAGUAACCUGCCCUUGACUUUGGGAUAACUUCAGGAAACUGGGGCUAAUACCGGAUAGGAGCUCCUGCUGCAUGGUGGGGGUUGGAAAGUUUCGGCGGUUGGGGAUGGACUCGCGGCUUAUCAGCUUGUUGGUGGGGUAGUGGCUUACCAAGGCUUUGACGGGUAGCCGGCCUGAGAGGGUGACCGGCCACAUGGGGACGGAGAUACGGCCCAGACUCCUACGGGAGGCAGCAGUGGGGAAUAUUGCACAAUGGGCGGAAGCCUGAUGCAGCAACGCCGCGUGCGGGAUGACGGCCUUCGGGUUGUAAACCGCUUUCGCCUGUGACGAAGCGUGAGUGACGGUAAUGGGUAAAGAAGCACCGGCAAACUACGU